RNAcentral lists this ribosomal RNA (492 nucleotides) under uncultured bacterium. RNAcentral's name for it is "partial 16S ribosomal RNA". It matches the Rfam family "Bacterial small subunit ribosomal RNA", at positions 29 to 507 of the family's 1533-position model. The record is from RNAcentral.
AGUGAACGCUGGCGGUAGGCCUAACACAUGCAAGUCGAACGGCAGCACAGUAAGAGCUUGCUCUUACGGGUGGCGAGUCGCGGACGGGUGAGGAAUACAUCGGAAUCUACUUUUUCGUGGGGGAUAACGUAGGGAAACUUACGCUAAUACCGCAUACGACCUACGGGUGAAAGCAGGGGAUCUUCGGACCUUGCGCGAUUGAAUGAGCCGAUGUGGGAUUAGCUAGUUGGCGGGGUAAAGGCCCACCAAGGCGACGAUCCGUAGCUGGUCUGAGAGGAUGAUCAGCCACACUGGAACUGAGACACGGUCCAGACUCCUACGGGAGGCAGCAGUGGGGAAUAUUGGACAAUGGGCGCAAGCCUGAUCCAGCCAUACCGCGUGGGUGAAGAAGGCCUUCGGGUUGUAAAGCCCUUUUGUUGGGAAAGAAAAGCAGCAGGUUAAUACCCCGCUGUUCUGACGGUACCCAAAGAAUAAGCACCGGCUAACUUCGUG